GCAGCCGGCGGCGGAGCGGGAGGCAGGCGGCUGAGACGGGCGCGCCAUUUGCAUUCGCCCGCAGUCAUUUUUAUCCGCGGAGGAUUUCAAAGCCCCAAACAGAUCCACCCACUGAGGCGGCUGAGAAAAGGAGUUCGGCAGGUGCAGCGCUGUCAGGAGAUGAGACAAGCUAGACACACACCUGCUCUGAGACAGGUAGUUGACGGGGCACAGUGAGCGUUUAAGCUGCUGGGUUUGGUUUUCUCAGGGCUCUGAAGCUUGCUGUCCACUGGGGCCGCCAUUGGACACGUGUGGCUAUUGAGCCGCUGAAAUUUGUCUGGUCCAAACGGAGAUGUGCUCUAAAUGUGAGAUGCAGCCUGGAUUGUGAAGAUUCUGAAAAAAACCGUGUAAACUGGCUUACUAAUCAUUCUAAAAUAUUGAUGGGCUAUUGAAAUCAUAUUUUGGAUAUUUUAGGUGAAAUAAGAUUUUAAUUUUACAUAAUUAAAAUCUAUGAAGUCUGUUUCUUUUUACCUUUUACAAAAUAUGGCCACAAAGAACAUUUAAAAUGACGUAUGUUUCCAUUGGACAGUGCUGGUCUAGAGGCUUAAGACCCAAGCAGCUUUCUUCUAACCCUUUUCACCUUACUCUGCAGGUGCUUUGGAACUGGGCGGGGAGAGAGAAAAGGUUCUUGGAUCUUAAACAUCAAGUGCCUAGGCAGAUAAUUAGGAAGUAAUUGGGAUUAUAGUGAAAACCUUGACAACACCGAGUAGAAGCAAGCAGUGGCUUAGAUUGCACCAACUGGCGGUUCCUUUCCCUUUGUUCACUGUAAUGAAAGACCCCACACUCCCGCCACAACCAUGCAGCAAUUCCAUGGACUAACGGUCUGUGUGUGAAGUUGGGCCUCGAGGAGUGUUUUGGGCCUUUUAGGAGUUAUUUGUUGCACGCUAAACUUGCUGACAUGCCAUUUAGAAGAGUGAGUACUGUGUAUGCACUGUAACAAGUAUUUCAUAAGUAUUUUUGGUGUACAUUGUUCCUCAGCGUGCACAGGGCCCCCGAAGUGUGCAUUGACACGGAUGCGCUGCCAAUGAUCCGGGCCUGGGGGAGUCCCCGAGUGUGCAUUGACUCCACACACGGCCAUGGCUCCUACAGGGCUUUUAUGGCGCAGCUUGCCAAUGAUCCAUGCAUUAAAGUCUCCCGGAACACACAUUGACGCGAUAGACUGGAGUUGUUUGGGUCUACCGUGCCGAUGAUCCGGGGAUAAUUGCGGUGUCUUAUGCGCUUUCAUUGAGAUUGGAAUGCUCAUGGUCGUAAUGGCAGAACCAGAACUGCCCCAGUUAAACCCCAGUGUGACUUCCUCUGUGGAGCCAGUGGCUCUUUGACCUCCUGCACGAUGACACUGUGGCGCUGAUAAUGUUCGCUGAUGUUUUAACUGACCGAAUUGAGUUAGCAGUUUUUUCUUUCCCAAAAGUGCUUUUUGUAAUUCAGUACCUGGAUCCAGGGUUCAUGUACUGAUGGUUUCAUCUGGUUAACCAUAAGCAAAAGACCUUGGAAAGGUCAUAUUGAAAGUAGAAAAAGUGGUUUAGAGAGAAUAAGUUUGGGAGGUGCAUAUGGGUUUGAGUUAAUAUGGAAUAAAUAACCUCAGUCUUAGGAAAACGUAGUUGGCUGAGCUAAAAUAGAAGGUGGGUAAGAAGACGGAAGACACUUUUAGAAAUCAUAAAAAGUAAUAUAUUCAAUAGUAAAGUAAUUCAAACACUAUAGAAGUGUACGAAUUUCUACUAUACCAUCCACUGUCACAGUUAAAAAAAUUUUUUUGCAUAUUCUUUUAGUGAUUUUUAUACAGAUACAAAUAUGUGUAGCUAUUUUUUGUUUACACAAAUGGGAUAAUACCCAACAUGGCUCUCCAGUGCCUUGUCUCUAUCGAACAUCUCUCCUUCUCAGCACAUUCAGAUCUGUUCCAUCCUUUCUGUAAUGGUUGCAUGGAAUUCCAGGAUAUGGAUGUAGCCAUUAAAAAAUUGUGUUAUUUCAACCAUCACUGCAAUAAAUGUCCUUGUACAUUUUUGCAGAUUUGUGCAGACAUAUCCACAGGAUACAUUUUAGCUGUGGAAAUGCUGGGACUCAGAGAUGAUACUUAUCACCAAGCUGAUAACCAAAGUGAUGGUGCUGCCUACAUCUUGCAGUAGGUGUGUUUAUUUCCCCACUCCAGGCCAACGAAGAGUUUUAUCACAGGGGAGGCUUCCAGUGUGUGUGAAUGAAUUUUCCCACUAUGUUCUCUGUACAGCUUUAUGGCGAGAGCCCAGCACGGGGAGCUGUGAUAAAUGCAGUGAAGUGAGGAAGUCAGACUACAAAAUAGGGAGUCUCAUUAAUCAAGAUAAAAAACGAUGGCAUCACAAAAUACACUAAGAUUGGUUGAAUUUUGGUAAUAGCUUAUCAACACGGGAGAAUUGGAAUUAGAUCACAUUAAUUCAUCAUUCAGCAAAUAUUUGUUGAGAAGUCGUAAGUGAAUUCUCCACUGGAUUGUAAGCCCCUUGAGAACAAAACCUUUGUCUUUUUAAUCUCUGUAGCUUGCAUAGAAUUAUGGAAUGAGGCCUGGCCUAAAGUUUUUUUUUUCUUUUCUUUUAAUUGUUGUUGUUAUUGAUUUGCUUGUUUUAAUUUGGCCAUUUAUUGUCUACCAUAUAUCUGAGUCUUUCUGAAGCUGGAUUUUCAAGAUGGCUAACAUUUAAUCCUUGUUCCCAGCAGCUCGUAGUGGGAGAGACAAUGCAGUGUAAACCAGUCUGAAAAUUCACAUAGUCUGUGCAAAGUGAACAACUACCUCUGGUGGAGUACUUUUCCCAGAGUCUGAUGUUUGAGCUGGGUCCUGUAAGAUGAUUAGGAAAACUUUUCCAGACCUGCAAGGAAGGACUUUUAGAGGAAGUUACAAUAAAGGGAUGGAGCUUUUUGGCAAUGGUGGUGAGAAUGAAUGGGGGAAAGGGGACCAGAAGUGGAGGCACCACCUUCUGAGAAAGGAGGCACUGAGUCAGGCGUCCAGGAGCACCAAGGGAGUGACACACAGGGAAAGAGUGGGGUUCUCACUCAGGCUCUGUCCCUGAAUUGUAGUGGCUCAUUUGGAAGCUGUGGUACUCCUGUAGCUCUAAAGCGUCUCAUUUGUAAAAUGGGAUGUAUAGGCUAGAUAAUUUGUACUUUGUUUUUUUCUUUUUUAGGGCCACACCUGUGGCAUACAGAAUUUCCCAGGUUAGGGGUCAGAUCCGGGCUACAGCUGCCAGCCUGCGCCACAGCCACAGCAACACGGGAUCCUAGCCGCGUUUGCGACCUAUACCACAGCUCAUGGCAACUCCGGAUCCUUAACCCAUGGAGCGAGGCCAGGGAUUGAACCCAUGCAGUCGGGUGAGCCACGAAGGGAACUCUCGAUAAUUUGUAAUAUUUUUUCAGUUUCAGAAUUCUAUGGCCUUUGAGCUGUGGGACUUGAAAUUGCCUGUAAGGAUUUCAUCUUCUGUUCUGUGUGCCAAGAAGCACUAUGUGGUAUCUUGGGGUGUUCCUUUAUGAUGGUAGUAAAUGACUGGUUAUAAUUUAGUGGAACUAACUACCAUGGACACUUACCAUGAUCUCGAAGUCUGCAUAUACGUUGUAUCCUACCUUCCCCCUCACUGCAAAAAAAAAAAAAAAAAAAAAAAAAAAAA
RNAcentral lists this long non-coding RNA (3653 nucleotides) under Sus scrofa (pig). RNAcentral's name for it is "lncRNA (ENSSSCG00035010793.1)". Lineage: Eukaryota; Metazoa; Chordata; Mammalia; Artiodactyla; Suidae. The record is from RNAcentral.